AGUCGAGGGGCAGCGAGUAGAUUGCUUGCAAUCUACGUCGGCGACCGGCGCACGGGUGCGUAACGCGUAUGCAACCUACCCAUUACAGGGGGAUAACACUGAGAAAUCGGUACUAAUAUCCCAUAACAUCCAGGGAGGCAUCUUCUUGGGUUGAAAACUCCGGUGGUAAUGGAUGGGCAUGCGUUGUAUUAGUUAGUUGGUGGGGUAACGGCUCACCAAGACGACGAUACAUAGGGGGACUGAGAGGUUAACCCCCCACAUUGGUACUGAGACACGGACCAAACUCCUACGGGAGGCAGCAGUGAGGAAUAUUGGUCAAUGGACGCAAGUCUGAACCAGCCAUGCCGCGUGCAGGAAGACGGCUCUAUGAGUUGUAAACUGCUUUUGUACGAGGGUAAACGCAGAUACGUGUAUCUGUCUGAAAGUAUCGUACGAAUAAGGAUCGGCUAACUCCGUGCCAGCAGCCGCGGUAAUACGGAGGAUUCAAGCGUUAUCCGGAUUUAUUGGGUUUAAAGGGUGCGUAGGCGGUCGGAUAAGUUAGAGGUGAAAUCCCGGGGCUCAACUUCGGAAUUGCCUCUGAUACUGUUCGGCUAGAGAGUAGUUGCGGUAGGCGGAAUGUAUGGUGUAGCGGUGAAAUGCUUAGAGAUCAUACAGAACACCGAUUGCGAAGGCAGCUUACCAAGCUACUUCUGACGUUGAGGCACGAAAGCGUGGGGAGCAAACAGGAUUAGAUACCCUGGUAGUCCACGCAGUAAACGAUGAUAACUCGUUGUCGGCGAUACAAUGUCGGUGACUAAGCGAAAGCGAUAAGUUAUCCACCUGGGGAGUACGUUCGCAAGAAUGAAAC
Molecule: ribosomal RNA, 847 nt
Filed under: uncultured bacterium
Lineage: Bacteria
Description: bacterial SSU rRNA
Rfam family: Bacterial small subunit ribosomal RNA
Source: RNAcentral